This 499-nucleotide ribosomal RNA is filed under the name uncultured eukaryote. Its description in RNAcentral is "bacterial SSU rRNA". It matches the Rfam family "Eukaryotic small subunit ribosomal RNA", at positions 313 to 813 of the family's 1831-position model. The record is from RNAcentral.
UAUCAACUCGAGACGGCGGGGUAGAGGCCCGCCGCGGUAACGACGGGUAACGGGGAAUCAGGGUUCGAUUCCGGAGAGGGAGCCCGAGAAACGGCUACCACUUCCAAGGAAGGCAGCAGGCGCGCAACUUACCCUAAUCUCGAUUCGAGGAGGUAGUGACAAGAAAUACCGAUGCGGGACCCUACGGGUGCCGCGUUCGGAAUGAGUACGAUUCGAACCACCUAACGAGGAACGAUCGGAGGGCAAGUCUGGUGCCAGCAGCCGCGGUAAUUCCAGCUCCAAUAGCGUACGUUAAAGUUGCUGCAGUUAAAAAGCUCGUAGUUGAACGUUCGGGUUCCGCGGGACGGGGCCGCCCCGCGAGGGACGGCGCCGCCCCGGGGCUCGUGAUAUCUCAUCUCGCCGCCCGUCGCGAGGCGGACGGAGGGAUGGAUGAGGUUACCUGGAAAAAAUCGGGGCGAUCUAGGCGGGCGAACCUCGCCAACGAACGAUCGGACAUGGG